RNAcentral lists this long non-coding RNA (1058 nucleotides) under Citrus sinensis (sweet orange). RNAcentral's name for it is "long non-coding RNA (CSIN_LNC001289)". The record is from RNAcentral. Lineage: Eukaryota; Viridiplantae; Streptophyta; Magnoliopsida; Sapindales; Rutaceae.
CUAAAUUCAAAGCGUAGAGUUUUGCUAUAUAGUAUGUUCAAUCUUAUGAUAAUUACUGCACUAUAUAUUGUUAUUUCCAUGCAGAGAUGACUUGGAAGUUUACUCAACAGAAAUUAAAAAUCUUACCCUGAAAAUCCUUGACCAAAUGGCUAAAGCUCUAAGAAUGGAUCCCAAUGAUAUGGAAGAGUUGUUUGAAAACGGGAUGCAAGCAUUCAGGAUGAAUUAUUAUCCUCCUUGUCUGCAACCAGAAAAAGUUGUCGGCCAUAAUUCUCAUUGUGAUGCCGCCGCACUCACCGUCCUCCUCCAAAUCAAUGAGAUGGAUGGUCUCCAAAUUAAGAAAGAUGGAAAAUGGGUUGCUGUUAAACCCCUUCGAGCUUUAUAUUUGCUAUAUGAACGAUGUAUGGAAAGAACAUCUUGCUUUAAUUUGCAUAUAUGCAGUUGAUUAAUCAUGGAGUUAGCAGUUCAUUGGUGGAGAAAGUGAAAGCAGAGAUUCAAGACUUCUUUAAUCUUCCAAUUGAUGAGAAAAAGAAGUUUUGGCAACAACCAGGAGAUAUUGAGGGAUUUGGGCAGCACUUUAUUGCGUCUGAAGAGCAGAAGCUUGAUUGGGGAUACGGCUUUACUAUGGUCACUCUCCCAACUCAUCUGAGGAAACCCCACUUGUUCCCUAAGUUGCCUCUUCCAUUCAGGUUCUAAAUUCAAAGCGUAGAGUUUUGCUAUAUAGUAUGUUCAAUCUUAUGAUAAUUACUGCACUAUAUAUUGUUAUUUCCAUGCAGAGAUGACUUGGAAGUUUACUCAACAGAAAUUAAAAAUCUUACCCUGAAAAUCCUUGACCAAAUGGCUAAAGCUCUAAGAAUGGAUCCCAAUGAUAUGGAAGAGUUGUUUGAAAACGGGAUGCAAGCAUUCAGGAUGAAUUAUUAUCCUCCUUGUCUGCAACCAGAAAAAGUUGUCGGCCAUAAUUCUCAUUGUGAUGCCUCCGCACUCACCGUCCUCCUCCAAAUCAAUGAGAUGGAUGGUCUCCAAAUUAAGAAAGAUGGAAAAUGGGUUGCUGUUAAACCCCU